GAUGAACGCUGGCGGCGUGCCUAAUACAUGCAAGUCGAGCGAACAGAUGAGGAGCUUGCUCCUCUGACGUUAGCGGCGGACGGGUGAGUAACACGUGGAUAACCUACCUAUAAGACUGGGAUAACUUCGGGAAACCGGAGCUAAUACCGGAUAAUAUAUUGAACCGCAUGGUUCAAUAGUGAAAGACGGUUUUGCAGUCACUUAUAGAUGGAUCCGCGCCGCAUUAGCUAGUUGGUAAGGUAACGGCUUACCAAGGCAACGAUGCGUAGCCGACCUGAGAGGGUGAUCGGCCACACUGGAACUGAGACACGGUCCAGACUCCUACGGGAGGCAGCAGUAGGGAAUCUUCCGCAAUGGGCGAAAGCCUGACGGAGCAACGCCGCGUGAGUGAUGAAGGUCUUCGGAUCGUAAAACUCUGUUAUUAGGGAAGAACAAAUGUGUAAGUAACUAUGCACGUCUUGACGGUACCUAAUCAGAAAGCCACGGCUAACUACGU
RNAcentral lists this ribosomal RNA (496 nucleotides) under uncultured bacterium. RNAcentral describes it as "partial 16S ribosomal RNA". It matches the Rfam family "Bacterial small subunit ribosomal RNA", at positions 28 to 506 of the family's 1533-position model. The record is from RNAcentral.